RNAcentral lists this ribosomal RNA (492 nucleotides) under uncultured bacterium. RNAcentral describes it as "partial 16S ribosomal RNA". It matches the Rfam family "Bacterial small subunit ribosomal RNA", at positions 29 to 507 of the family's 1533-position model. The record is from RNAcentral.
AGUGAACGCUGGCGAUAGGCCUAACACAUGCAAGUCGAACGGCAGCACAGUAAGAGCUUGCUCUUACGGGUGGCGAGUGGCGGACGGGUGAGGAAUACAUCGGAACCUACUUUUUCGUGGGGGAUAACGUAGGGAAACUUACGCUAAUACCGCAUACGACCUACGGGUGAAAGCAGGGGAUCUUCGGACCUUGCGCGAUUGAAUGAGCCGAUGUCGGAUUAGCUAGUUGGCGGGGUAAAGGCCCACCAAGGCGACGAUCCGUAGCUGGUCUGAGAGGAUGAUCAGCCACACUGGAACUUGGACACGGUCCAGACUCCUACGGGAGGCAGCAGUGGGGAAUAUUGGACAAUGGGCGCAAGCCUGAUCCAGCCAUACCGCGUGGGUGAAGAAGGCCUUCGGGUUGUAAAGCCCUUUUGUUGGGAAAGAAAAGCAGCAGGUUAAUACCCCGCUGUUCUGACGGUGCCCAAAGAAUAAGCACCGGCUAACUUCGUG